This 373-nucleotide ribosomal RNA is filed under the name uncultured organism. RNAcentral's name for it is "bacterial SSU rRNA". It matches the Rfam family "Bacterial small subunit ribosomal RNA", at positions 526 to 896 of the family's 1533-position model. The record is from RNAcentral.
CGUAGGGUGCGAGCGUUAAUCGGAAUUACUGGGCGUAAAGCGUGCGCUAGGCGGUUUUGUAAGACAGGCGUGAAAUCCCCGGGCUCAACCUGGGAACUGCGCUUGUGACUGCAAGGCUAGAGUACGGCAGAGGGGGGUGGAAUUCCACGUGUAGCAGUGAAAUGUGUAGAGAUGUGGAGGAACACCAAUGGCGAAGGCAGCCCCCUGGGUCGAUACUGACGCUCAUGCACGGAAGCGUGGGUAGCAAACAGGAUUAGAUACCCUGGUAGUCCACGCCCUAAACGAUGUCAACUAGGUGUUGGGUGGGUAAAACCAUUUAGUACCGGAGCUAACGCGUGAAGUUGACCGCCUGGGGAGUACGGCCGCAAGGUUA